GUCUAUGGCCAUACCACCCUGAACGCACCUGAUCUCGUCUGAUCUCAGAAGCUAAGCAGGGUCAGGCCUGGUUAGCACUUGGAUGGGAGACCACCUGGGAAUACCAGGUGCUGUAGGCC
Molecule: ribosomal RNA, 119 nt
Organism: Pan paniscus (pygmy chimpanzee)
Lineage: Eukaryota; Metazoa; Chordata; Mammalia; Primates; Hominidae
Source: Ensembl